GGUCAAGUUAUUAAGGGUGCAGGGCGGAUGCCUUGGCACUAGGAGCCGAUGAAGGACGUGAUAAGCUGCGAUAAGCUUCGGGGAGUUGCACGUAAACUUUGAUCCGAAGAUUUCCGAAUGAGGAAACUCACUUAGAGUAAUGUCUAAGUAUCAUUAAGUGAAUACAUAGCUUAAUGAGGGGAACUCAGGGAACUGAAACAUCUAAGUACCUGAAGGAAGAGAAAGAAAUUCGAUUCCGUAAGUAGCGGCGAGCGAACGCGGAUUAGCCCAAACCAAUAAAGUUUUCUUUAUUGGGGUUGAGGACAUACCAUAUAUAAGAGGUCAUUAUAGACGAAGAGGUUUGGAAAGACUCAUCAUAGAAGGUAAUAAUCCUGUAGUCAAAAUAAUAAUUCUUUAGGUAUGAUCCAGAGUACCACGGGACACGUGAAACCCUGUGGGAAGCAGGAGGGACCACCCUCCAAGGCUAAAUACUACCUAGUGACCGAUAGCGUAUAGUACCGUGAGGGAAAGGUGAAAAGAACCCCGGGAGGGGAGUGAAAUAGAACCUGAAACCCUGCACUUACAAGCUGUGGAAGCACAUUUCUUGUGUGACCGCGUACUUUUUGUAGAACGGGCCAACGAGUUACGUUAAGUAGCAAGGUUAAGCACUUAAGGUGUGGAGCCGUAGCGAAAGCGAGUUUUAACUGAGCGUUCAGUUACUUGACGUAGACCCGAAACCGGGCGACCUACCCAUGAGCAGGAUGAAGCGAAAGUAAAAUUUCGUGGAGGUCCGAACCCACGAGCGUUGAAAAGCUCGGGGAUGACUUGUGGGUAGCGGUGAAAUUCCAAUCGAGCCCGGAGAUAGCUGGUUCUCCCCGAAAUAGCUUUAGGGCUAGCCUCAAGGUGAGAGAUACGGAGGUAGAGCGCUGAAUGUCCUAGGGGGUAUUGCACCUACCGAAGACUAUCAAACUCCGAAUGCCGUCAUCUUAUACUUGGGAGUCAGACUGUGGGUGAUAAGAUUCAUAGUCGAAAGGGCAACAGCCCAGAUCGUCAGCUAAGGUCCCUAAAUGUAAGUUAAGUGGUAAAGGAUGUGGGAUUGCACAGACAACCAGGAUGUUGGCUUAGAAGCAGCCACUCAUUCAAAGAGUGCGUAAUAGCUCACUGGUCGAGUGAUCCUGCGCCGAAGAUUUCCGGGGCUAAAACUUACUACCGAAGCUACGGCAUCAGUAAUGAUGGGUAGGGGAGCUUCCCAUACGGGUUGAAGCAUGACCGUAAGGACAUGUGGACAGUAUGGGAGUGAGAAUGUUGGCAUGAGUAGCGAGAUGUGGGUGAGAAUCCCACAGGCCGUAAACCCAAGGUUUCCAGAGGAAGGCUCGUCCGCUCUGGGUUAGUCGGGUCCUAAGCUGAGGCCGACAGGCGUAGGCGAUGGAUAACAGGUUGAUAUUCCUGUACUACCGAUAACCGUUUGAGAGAAGGGAUGACACAGUAGGAUAAGCUAAGCACACUGUUGGUUAUGUGUGCCCAAGCAUUGAGGCAGUCAAAGUAGGCAAAUCCGCUUUGAUAAUGCUGGGAUGUGAUGGGGAGCGAAAUUUAGUAGCGAAGUAGCUGAUUUCAUACUGUCAAGAAAAGUCUCUAUCGAGGUUAAAGGUACCCGUACCGCAAACCGACACAGGUAGUCAAGAUGAGAAUUCUAAGGUGAGCGAGCGAACUCUCGUUAAGGAACUCGGCAAAAUGACCCCGUAACUUCGGGAGAAGGGGUGCUCUUUAGGGUUAACGCCCAGAAGAGCCGCAGUGAAUAGGCCCAAGCGACUGUUUAUCAAAAACACAGGUCUCUGCUAAACCGUAAGGUGAUGUAUAGGGGCUGACGCCUGCCCGGUGCUGGAAGGUUAAGAGGAGUAGUUAGCUUCUGCGAAGCUACGAAUCGAAGCCCCAGUAAACGGCGGCCGUAACUAUAACGGUCCUAAGGUAGCGAAAUUCCUUGUCGGGUAAGUUCCGACCCGCACGAAAGGCGUAACGAUUUGGGCACUGUCUCAACGAGAGACUCGGUGAAAUCAUAGUACCUGUGAAGAUGCAGGUUACCCGCGACAGGACGGAAAGACCCCGUGGAGCUUUACUGUAGCUUGACAUUGGGUCUUGGUACUACAUGUACAGGAUAGGUGGGAGGCUUUGAAACCAGGACGCCAGUUUUGGCGGAGCCAUCCUUGGGAUACCACCCUUGUAGUACUGGGACUCUAACCAUAGGCCAUGAAUCUGGUCUUGGGACACUGUCAGGUGGGCAGUUUGACUGGGGCGGUCGCCUCCCAAAAGGUAACGGAGGCGCUCAAAGGUUCUCUCAGUACGGUCGGAAAUCGUACGUAGAGUGUAAAGGCAAAAGAGAGCUUGAUUGCAAGACAUACAGGUCGAGCAAGGAUGAAAAUCGGACUUAGUGAUCCGGUGGUUCUGCGUGGAAGGGCCAUCGCUCAACGGAUAAAAGCUACCCUGGGGAUAACAGGCUUAUCUCCCCCAAGAGUCCACAUCGACGGGGAGGUUUGGCACCUCGAUGUCGGCUCAUCACAUCCUGGGGCUGUAGUAGGUCCCAAGGGUUGGGCUGUUCGCCCAUUAAAGUGGUACGCGAGCUGGGUUCAGAACGUCGUGAGACAGUUCGGUCCCUAUCCGUCGCAGGCGUAGGAAAUUUGAGAAGACCUGUCCUUAGUACGAGAGGACCGGGAUGGACGUACCUCUGGUGUACCAGUUGUUCUGCCAAGGGCAUGGCUGGGUAGCUAUGUACGGAAUGGAUAAGCGCUGAAAGCAUCUAAGCGCGAAGCCAACUUCAAGAUAAGAUUUCCCACCGUAAGGGUAAGACCCCAGAAAGACUAUCUGGUUGAUAGGUCGAAGGUGUAAGUGCAGCAAUGUAUUUAGCUUAUCGAUACUAAUAGGUCGAGGACUUGACCAA
Molecule: ribosomal RNA, 2911 nt
Filed under: Clostridioides difficile
Lineage: Bacteria; Bacillati; Bacillota; Clostridia; Peptostreptococcales; Peptostreptococcaceae
Description: 23S ribosomal RNA
Rfam family: Bacterial large subunit ribosomal RNA
Source: RNAcentral